CAACAAUAUAAGUAACAGAAAAAAAAACAAAAAGAAUACGAAAAAAAAUGUACUCAAUAAUGCCAAAGGAGGUAUGACCAACGGUGUCAAAAUAAACAGUGAGAAAAGCACUACCAGUAACAUAAGUAUUGAUAGUAGAAUAAAUAAAAAUAGUGAAAACAAAAAGUAUACGGAAAAUAUUUAUGAACGUAUAGAAAAAAUCACUAAUUUUUUUAUUAAUAAUAAAAAUGAUAAUAACUUUAUGAAUAAAAUAAAAAAUUUUACCAAUAAUAAAAAUAAACAUUUUGAAGAUAAAGAAAUAUUAAAUAUGUUACAAACAUAUUUGAAAGGUGAGUUGUUAAAUCAAAAUAAUAAUAAUUUUUGUGAAUGGUCUUAUGAUAAACAACACGAUAAAGAAAAAAACGAAAGUGGUUAUAACUACAACAGUUACAAUAGUUACAACAGCUACAAUAGUUACAACAGCUACAAUAGUUACAACAAAUACAAUAGUUACAACAAAUACAAUAGAUGUAACGGAAAUAACGACUACAAAAAUGGUAAUAAUAAAUUUUUAUACAAUUCUUUAAAUAAUAACGAGUUAUAUAAAAAUAAAUUAAAAAAAAAUACAUGUUAUCGUGAUGAUAUAAUUGAAAGUAAUGCAACUAGUUUCGAUGUCCUUGCUUCAUGUAUUAUUGAUAAUGAAAGGUUGAAUGAAAAAAAUAAAAAAAAGAAAAGAAAAAAGACAGGUAAAGGUACUUAUUUUAUUUGUUCUAGCAGAAGUCAUAGUAGUUCACGUGACAGUAGCAAUAGCAGUGUUCAUAAUACUUUUAAAAAAAGAAGAAAAGGGCAUAUAGACGUAAACGGUAUGACACACAUAAAAAAUGUGAACGAUAUUAAUUUAUUCCCGUUAGAUAAGAACAUGAACAGUGCAGCCUCUAACUGUGCAAUCUCUAACAGUGCAACCUCUAACAGUGCAACCUCUAACAGUGACAAUCAUAAUAAUAAUAAUAUAAAAUAUAACAUUACGGAGCAAAUAAAUUAUAAAAAAAAUAAUGCAGGAUACUUAUUUAAAAAAAAUAUAAAAAAUAGUCCUAACAAUAUAUAUGGUAGUACUACUGAUACUAAAAAAAUAAAUACAGAAAAAUUGUUUUACCCUGAAAAUAAUUUAUCAAAUAAUGAUAAUUUGUUCGUGAGUGAUUAUUUUAACAAUGAAUAUAAAAAACAUGAAAACAUGACGGACAAUGAACUUAUAGAAACAAUAAAUAACUUAUUAAUUAUGUAUGGAUCAAAUGAAUCAAAUAAAAUUUCAUCAUAUAAUAAAAACAUAAAAGAUUAUUUACGUUUUUUAACUACAUGUUAUUAUGCUAAAAAAAUGAAAAGUAACGAAAUAUCACAUAAUAAUGAUAAUACAUAUAAUAAUAACCCAUCUUAUUUUGAUGAAGAUAAAUGUAGUAUGAUUUAUAAACGGCUUUUGUUUCCUAUUUGUAACAUAAAGGAAUCAGAAAAUGAAAUAAAAUAUUAUACUAAUUAUAACAACAGUCGUAACAAUAAACAAAGUAGUAACAACAUUGAUGACAUUAUAAUCCAUAAUAAAGAUAGAAGUAAUAAUAAUAGUAGUAGUAAUAAUAAUAAUAGUAGUAGUAAUAAUAAUAAUAAUAGUAGUAUUAAUAAUAAUAAUAGUAGUAGUAAUAAUAAUAAUAAUAAUAAUAGUAGUAUUAAUAAUAAUAAUAAUAAUAAUAAUAAUAUAUGUAUUGAAAAUUCAGAUGAUAAUACAUUUUUAAAUACUUACAAUAAUACUAAAAAAAUAAGUAACGUAUCAACAUGUCCUAGUUUAAGAAAAUUGUAUGACAAUAGUCAUUACUUAGUUAACGAAAAAAAUAAAUUAUUAACAUAUUCAGAAUAUAAAGUAAUAAAACAAUAUGAUAAAAAUAUUACUACUAAUAUUACUGAUCAUAAUAAUAAAAAAACAAAGGAUAAUAAAAAUAUAGUUAAUAUAAAAAAAAUAGUUGAACAUAUUGAAAAAAAUGAAAAUGUAAUUAUGAACAAGUCAUGUGAAUGUUUCUGUUAUAAAAAUAAAUCAUGUGAACAUAAUAAGAACAAGAAUAAGAAUCAUGAAAAAUGUAAUAGUUAUAAUAGAUAUAAUAAAUAUAACAAUUAUAAUAACAUUUAUAAAUGUAACAGUUAUGAUAAAAUAAAUCAAAGUAAUACAUAUAACAACAAUCAGAAUUUAUCAUACUAUUAUUUUAAUAAUAUAAAUACUAAUCCGCUUUUUAUACAGACAUACAACAAAUAUAUUCCUCAUUUGAACACAACAAAAAACAUGUCUUAUAUAGACGAUAUAAAAAAUAUACAAUUGAAUUAUAGUAGUGACUUAAAAGAAGAAGAGCAGAAAGAGGAAGAAAACG
Piliocolobus tephrosceles (Ugandan red Colobus) is the source of this 2384-nucleotide long non-coding RNA. NCBI's taxonomy places the organism in Eukaryota, Metazoa, Chordata, Mammalia, Primates, Cercopithecidae. The record is from Ensembl.